RNAcentral lists this ribosomal RNA (425 nucleotides) under uncultured bacterium. Its description in RNAcentral is "partial 16S ribosomal RNA". It matches the Rfam family "Bacterial small subunit ribosomal RNA", at positions 354 to 796 of the family's 1533-position model. The record is from RNAcentral.
GUGGGGAAUAUUGGACAAUGGGCGCAAGCCUGAUCCAGCCAUGCCGCGUGAGUGAUGAAGGCCUUAGGGUUGUAAAGCUCUUUCAGUAGGGAAGAUAAUGACGGUACCUACAGAAGAAGCCCCGGCUAACUUCGUGCCAGCAGCCGCGGUAAUACGAAGGGGGCUAGCGUUGUUCGGAUUUACUGGGCGUAAAGCGCACGUAGGCGGUUUGUUAAGUCAGGGGUGAAAUCCCACAGCUCAACUGUGGAACUGCCCUUGAUACUGGCAAGCUAGAGUCCGGAAGAGGUGAGUGGAACUCCUAGUGUAGAGGUGGAAUUCGUAGAUAUUAGGAAGAACACCAGUGGCGAAGGCGGCUCACUGGUCCGGUACUGACGCUGAGGUGCGAAAGCGUGGGGAGCAAACAGGAUUAGAUACCCUUGUAGUCC